UCAAGUGAAUAAGAGCAUAUGGUGGAUGCCUUGGCGAUGAUAGGCGACGAAAGACGUGAUAGCCUGCGAAAAGCUUCGGGGAGCUGGCAAAUAAGCUUUGAUCCGGAGGUGUCUGAAUGGGGAAACCCACCCUUAGGGGUAUCCUGAGCUGAAUACAUAGGCUCAGGAGGCGAACCGGGUGAACUGAAACAUCUCAGUAGCUCGAGGAAAAGAAAUCAACCGAGAUUCCGAUAGUAGUGGCGAGCGAAAUCGGAAGAGCCUGUUAGUGAUAGCACGAUGUUUAACGGAACGACUUGGAAAGGUCGGCCAUAGCGGGUGAUAGCCCCGUACGUGAAAAGCAACGUGUGGUACUGAGUUAACGACAAGUAGGGCGGGACACGUGUAAUCCUGUCUGAAUAUGGGGGGACCAUCCUCCAAGGCUAAAUACUCAUCAUCGACCGAUAGUGAACAAGUACCGUGAGGGAAAGGCGAAAAGAACCCCGGGAGGGGAGUGAAAUAGAUCCUGAAACCGUAUGCUUACAAAAAGUAGGAGCCUCGUAAGGGGUGACUGCGUACCUUUUGUAUAAUGGGUCAGCGACUUACAUUCAGUGGCAAGCUUAACCGAAUAGGGAAGGCGUAGGGAAACCGAGUCCGAAUAGGGCGAUUCAGUCGCUGGGUGUAGACCCGAAACCAAGUGAUCUAUCCAUGGCCAGGAUGAAGGUGCCGUAACAGGUACUGGAGGUCCGAACCGACUAAUGUUGCAAAAUUAGCGGAUGAGCUGUGGAUAGGGGUGAAAGGCUAAACAAACUUGGAGAUAGCUGGUUCUCUCCGAAAACUAUUUAGGUAGUGCCUCAAGUAUUACCUGCGGGGGUAGAGCACUGUUUUGGCUAGGGGGUCAUGGCGACUUACCAAACCAAGGCAAACUCCGAAUACCGCAGAGUACAGCUUGGGAGACAGAGCACCGGGUGCUAACGUCCGGACUCAAGAGGGAAACAACCCAGACCGCCAGCUAAGGUCCCUAAAAUUGGCUAAGUGGGAAACGAAGUGGGAAGGCUAAAACAGUCAGGAUGUUGGCUUAGAAGCAGCCAUCAUUUAAAGAAAGCGUAAUAGCUCACUGAUCGAGUCGUCCUGCGCGGAAGAUGUAACGGGGCUAAGCCAGUUACCGAAGCUGCGGAUUUGCAAUUUAUUGCAAGUGGUAGGAGAGCGUUCUGUAAGCCUGUGAAGGUGUCUUGUGAAGGAUGCUGGAGGUAUCAGAAGUGCGAAUGCUGACAUGAGUAGCGUUAAAGGGGGUGAAAAGCCCCCUCGCCGUAAGCGCAAGGUUUCCUACGCAACGUUCAUCGGCGUAGGGUGAGUCGGCCCCUAAGGUGAGGCAGAGAUGCGUAGCUGAUGGGAAACAGGUUAAUAUUCCUGUACCGAUUACAAGUGCGAUGUGGGGACGGAGAAGGUUAGCUCAGCCAACUGUUGGAUAUGUUGGUUCAAGCCUGUAGUCAUGCCUGGUAGGCAAAUCCGCCGGGCUAAGAUGAGGGGUGAUAACGAGUGUGCUUGCACACGAAGUGAGUGAUACCCUGCUUCCAGGAAAAGCCACUAAGCUUCAGCUUGUAACGACCGUACCGCAAACCGACACUGGUGCGCGAGAUGAGUAUUCUAAGGCGCUUGAGAGAACUCUGGAGAAGGAACUCGGCAAAUUGACACCGUAACUUCGGGAGAAGGUGUGCCCUCAGUAGGUGAACCUGUACAAGGGGAGCCCAAAGGGGUUGCAAAGAAUAGGUGGCUGCGACUGUUUAUUAAAAACACAGCACUCUGCAAACACGAAAGUGGACGUAUAGGGUGUGACGCCUGCCCGGUGCUGGAAGAUUAAUUGAUGGGGUGCAAGCUCUUGAUCGAAGUCCCAGUAAACGGCGGCCGUAACUAUAACGGUCCUAAGGUAGCGAAAUUCCUUGUCGGGU
Molecule: ribosomal RNA, 1925 nt
Filed under: marine metagenome
Description: bacterial LSU rRNA
Rfam family: Bacterial large subunit ribosomal RNA
Source: RNAcentral